AGUGAACGCUGGCGGUAGGCCUAACACAUGCAAGUCGAACGGCAGCACAGUAAGCGCUUGCUCUUACGGGUGGCGAGUGGCGGACGGGUGAGGAAUACAUAGGAAUCUACUUUUUCGUGGGGGAUAACGUAGGGAAACUUACGCUAAUACCGCAUACGACCUACGGGUGAAAGCAGGGGAUCUUCGGACCUUGCGCGAUUCAAUGAGCCGAUGUCGGAUUAGCUAGUUGGCGGGGUAAAGGCCCACCAAGGCGACGAUCCGUAGCUGAUCUGAGAGGAUGAUCAGCCACACUGGAACUGAGACACGGUCCAGACUCCUACGGGAGGCAGCAGUGGGGAAUCUUGGACAAUGGGCGCAAGCCUGAUCCAGCCAUGCCGCGUGAGUGAAGAAGGCCUUCGGGUUGUAAAGCCCUUUUAUUAGGGAAGAACAGCAGCAGGUUAAUACCCCGCUGUUCUGACGGUACCCAAAGAAAAAGCACCGGCUAACUUCGUG
RNAcentral lists this ribosomal RNA (492 nucleotides) under uncultured bacterium. RNAcentral describes it as "partial 16S ribosomal RNA". It matches the Rfam family "Bacterial small subunit ribosomal RNA", at positions 29 to 507 of the family's 1533-position model. The record is from RNAcentral.